Molecule: ribosomal RNA, 253 nt
Filed under: uncultured bacterium
Lineage: Bacteria
Description: partial 16S ribosomal RNA
Rfam family: Bacterial small subunit ribosomal RNA
Source: RNAcentral
UACAGAGGUCUCAAGCGUUGUUCGGAUUCACUGGGCGUAAAGGGUGCGUAGGCGGUCGGGUAAGUCUGACGUGAAAUCUUCAAGCUCAACUUGGAAACUGCGUCCGAUACUAUUCGGCUAGAGGAAUGGAGGGGAGACUGGAAUACUUGGUGUAGCAGUGAAAUGCGUAGAUAUCAAGUGGAACACCAGUGGCGAAGGCGAGUCUCUGGACAUUUCCUGACGCUGAGGCACGAAAGCCAGGGGAGCAAACGGG